RNAcentral lists this long non-coding RNA (234 nucleotides) under Capsicum annuum. RNAcentral's name for it is "long non-coding RNA (CANN_LNC008817)". Lineage: Eukaryota; Viridiplantae; Streptophyta; Magnoliopsida; Solanales; Solanaceae. The record is from RNAcentral.
CCAUUUUCAAUUUCUACUCUCUUUCUAUUUUAAAUCUUUCUUUCUCUCUCACUCGAUUUUCUGUGUAUAGUGUGCGAUUUUUGGUGAAUAUGUGUGUGUGGUGUGUGCGAUUUUUGUUGUAGAAGAUAGAGUGGAGAGUCUGUAUUCUUCAUGAAGAAGAAAACCAAAGAUGGUCUCUUUUUCUUUUCUUUUUUUGGAGGUGUGUGAUAUGUGAGCUGUGAUGAUAAGAUGAAA